RNAcentral lists this ribosomal RNA (253 nucleotides) under uncultured bacterium. RNAcentral's name for it is "partial 16S ribosomal RNA". It matches the Rfam family "Bacterial small subunit ribosomal RNA", at positions 524 to 776 of the family's 1533-position model. The record is from RNAcentral.
UACGGAGGGGGCUAGCGUUGUUCGGAAUUACUGGGCGUAAAGCGCGCGUAGGCGGCUUUGUAAGUUAGAGGUGAAAGCCCGAAGCUCAACUUCGGAAUUGCCUUUAAGACUGCAUCGCUAGAAUCGUGGAGAGGUGAGUGGAAUUCCGAGUGUAGAGGUGAAAUUCGUAGAUAUUCGGAAGAACACCAGUGGCGAAGGCGACUCACUGGACACGUAUUGACGCUGAGGUGCGAAAGCGUGGGGAGCAAACGGG